UAAGUGUAUGACAAGAAAAAAAGUUUUGCCCGUACUAUCUCUCUAUUGCUCUCUCCCGUAUUACGACGAUUGUACUCUUUGAUUCAAUCGGAAGCAAACAGAGGAGAAAUUGGGUCGUCCGAGUCUUCUAUCCGCAUGAACUUCAUCUCCACCGAUGCAGUCACGAUCGGCGAUGCUGGUUCAGCAAAUCGGCGACUCUAGUUCUCCAUCAGUUUGCGACUUUCCUUCACCAAUCGGAUAGUUUUCUUCACCAAAUCAGCGUGUCUCUUUCAUCGAGCUCUUUCUCAUGGUUGAAGAAAGAGACAGUGUGGUUCUCGAUGAAAGAGUACAAUCUUGUUUCAUUCUUCUCAUUCCCUAUUUUCGUCGAGCUCUGAUUUGUGUUCUUGUUUCAGUAAUGAAGAAGGUACGACAGGCUCUUGAACUUGCAUCUUCUGUCCCUCAAGAUGUUUUUGCCUGUCUCUGGCUUUGUAAUUUCAACUCUCGACUCGCUAACAGGUUUAUUCUUUGAUCAUUUCAUUUCUGCUUGCUUGGUUUUUUCCUGCAUCAACUAAUUCUCGUUUCAUUUAUAGACUGAUCGAUGCCCUGGUUUGUUCUUCUACAACGAGAUGUUGCAUAUUUUCUAUCGCAUUAUAAAACGAGCUUAGUUCAGUAAAUCAUAAAUUUUGUUUAGAGUGACAAGAAUUAUGACUGUUACUAAUUUAACUUUUUAACUCUUA
Camelina sativa (false flax) is the source of this 716-nucleotide non-coding RNA. The record is from RefSeq and is a predicted model, not a curated record. NCBI's taxonomy places the organism in Eukaryota, Viridiplantae, Streptophyta, Magnoliopsida, Brassicales, Brassicaceae.